Molecule: transfer RNA, 73 nt
Filed under: Pyrrhula pyrrhula (Eurasian bullfinch)
Lineage: Eukaryota; Metazoa; Chordata; Aves; Passeriformes; Fringillidae
Description: tRNA-Asn
Source: RNAcentral
UAGGCAGAGGCCUGUUGGUUGAGGCAUGUAGCUGUUAACUAUAGAGUCAUGGGAUCGAAGCCCAUCUGCCUAG